ACCACUGAGGAACUUGAAAGAAAUGCUUUGUUUGACCUUUUGGAGAAACAGCUUCCCUCUAAGGAUGUGGAGUGUGAGAAAGGCAAACUUUAGUUUCUGGCACAGUUGUUUUGGAGAACUGGCAAAGUUGCUGCAAAGGUGCUCUGUUCAGCAUUGGAAUAAAUCAGAGGGCCUCAGGAGUCUUCUGUGAAACAAGGCUGCUUCAGAGAAGAUCCUUCCCUCACCCCAGUGUUAUUAUACAUCAAAUUUAUUAAGAUCUGAAGAAAUAUAGGAGAAAACACCUGGAGGGAGAAAUCAGAGAGGACAUAGAGAUUAAUGUGCUGAAGCAGCUCCUACUUGCAACGACGAAAAAGUGGAAUUUUAGCUGCUUCUGAGGGACAGAAUAAGGCUAAUGAAAUCAUGUCAGCUGAGCCACUUGAGGAGGGGCAAGCACACCAAGAUGGCAGAGAGAAACAAUUCCUGCAGAGAAGAGGAUCUGCUCAUUUGCAAUACGUUGGUGACAGCUGCCAUGUGCCAAAGGAUUGUGUGAUGGAGGACACGGCAAUGUUGCGGCAUUUGCUGGAAUGCAGAGGCUCCCCAUAACGUACAUUUUGUUUCUGCUCCAUCUCAUUGCAGAGGCUAAAAUAAGCACUAACAUGUUUUAUGUAGCAGAAAAGUGGUCUUUGAUUUUCCUGCUGCCUCUGGCUGGUUUCAGCUCGGUUUUGUGCAGCGCAGGAACGUUGUGGGUUGCUGCUGUUGGCUGUUUCUCUUCAGGACUGUCUUGCUGGCCACUGCUUGUGCUUCAGUGUGCCUGACCUAUGCUUGGCUGCUCCAGGGUUGGUGUUUCACACUGCUGUAGAUACUGAGAGUUCCAGAGACUGCCUCUUACAUCAGCCAGAAACUGUCACUUAUCCUGUUAUCUUUCACAGCACCUGUUAUUAAAGCCUGUCUUUUCCACUCAGGUUUUCUUUGAGCAGUGUGGCAAAUAAAAAUAAUCGGUUGCAGUGGUAACAAAACAACACACAAUAGGACCUUGCUCCCUACAGCCUGGUGCCUAUUUCCCAUGGAUAUAUCUUGAAUCACUUUGUUAUACCUCUUUCCACAAUGCUAAAACUUCUGUUGUGCAUUUCUGACACUCUAAUUGUGGUAUAUGCAUGUAUUUAGUAUAUUCUCAGGCUCCAAGUACUAGAAGCACCACAGGUUCUUUAAAUGUUACCCUUGAAAGCUUCAGCAUCACUUAUUUUUAUUAUUUUUGUUAUUUUUGUUACUUUUGUUACUUUUGUUACUUUUGUUAUUUUUAUUUUUAUUUUUGUUAUUCUUUUUACACUGCUGCUGAUGUCUUUGGGAGACAUUUAUUAGUUAAGGUACAGAUAUCCUCUUUCACUGUUACCUAGUUUGGCAUUCACAAUCUCAAGUCCCUUCCAUCAUUUCGUUUGCACAGACACAGUAGUUAAGAUACUUCUCUACUUCUAAUAUUCUUCUAAGUUACAACUUUUAACAGAUUUCCCACCCAGCCAGAUGUUUCAGACAAAAUUCAGGGAAUCUUGACUGUUGCUAUUUUUUUUAAUCCCCUUUAUAGGCCUAUUGGGUUUCUGCUUUCUCCAGGAAUCUUUUUUGCUCCCCUCUUGAUAAGCAUACCUGGAUGCCCCUCAUCUUGUCUGGCAUAAUAGAUCCUGGCAUGACCAAAAGUUUGGGUUUUUCCUGUGAAGUCCUUGCAUUUUUCUUUUUAUUUUAUUCUACAAAUUUUCUUUCCAGAGAGCCCUAAGCUCAUCAUUUCAUAAAAUCAUGGGAAAAAUUAGAUUGAAAAGGACUUUUUGAGUUAUUUGAUAUAUCUUCCAUUUUCAAAGCAAGGCUGACUUCAAAGUUAGACCCAACUGGGCCCUCACUCUGUCAAGUUCUGAGGCUCUCAAGGAAGAGGUUUCCACAGCCUCCCUGGCUGACCUGUUCCAGUGCUUAACUGUGAGAAGUGUUCCAGUGCUUGUGGUGAGAAGCUUUCUUCCUUAAGUAAAAGAAAAUAAAGAUUCAAUUAUUGCAUUUUGUGCUUUUUGCUGCUUGUGCUUUCAUUGUGUGUCCCUUGGGAAAGCCUGGCUUUACCAUUCCAUGGAGAUGUUGUGAGACUGCUGUUGGAUUUCCACCUUCUUGGCCCCAUUUUAACCAUCCCACUUCCUACAGCCUGUCCUGGGUGUCCUGUGUCCCAACCCCCGUGCUGUCCCAGUGGCUCUCUGCAGAGAUUAUUGUUGCUAGUCACCUUUUUUUUUUAAUAUAAGGGAUUAAUUUGAGACUAAAGAGUGAAAAGAUUCUCCUGCUCUUUAUUUUUUACUGUUUAGUAAAGAUGUUGUUAUCC
Molecule: long non-coding RNA, 2323 nt
Organism: Parus major (Great Tit)
Lineage: Eukaryota; Metazoa; Chordata; Aves; Passeriformes; Paridae
Exons: 4
Source: RefSeq, a predicted model, not a curated record